This is a small nuclear RNA of Fukomys damarensis (Damara mole-rat), 103 nucleotides long. Lineage: Eukaryota; Metazoa; Chordata; Mammalia; Rodentia; Bathyergidae. The record is from Ensembl.
GUGCUCACUUUGGCAGCACCUGUACUAAAAUUGGAAUGAUGCAGAGAUUAGCAAGGUUCCUGCACAAGAUGACAUGUAAAUCCACGAAGCAUUCCAUAUUUAA